Myodes glareolus (Bank vole) is the source of this 730-nucleotide non-coding RNA. The record is from RefSeq and is a predicted model, not a curated record. NCBI's taxonomy places the organism in Eukaryota, Metazoa, Chordata, Mammalia, Rodentia, Cricetidae.
CCCCACCAUGAUGAUAACAGACUGAACCUCUGAAACUAGUCCACCAGUAAAGUUUUAUUGACACACAGCCAUGUGCAUUUCUUCACAUGUUGUCUGUGACUGCUUCCCUGGAUGUGAUGGUGGAGUUAACCGAACUUGACACAUUACGUGGCUGAAAAGCCGACGAAAUUACACAACCCGCCCUGAAGAAUUUGCUGAUCUAAGUGACGGAAGCCACCCUCAGACUCCUGGGGCUCAGGGAAGACACAUACCUGGUUGAGAUGGUGCAGGUGUCUGGCGAGACACGGAAGCCCACAGUAGCUGCUGCAUCUGAAUGCGCCUCUUGACCACGCACCAUGCUGCUGGGAUCAGGUCACCUCAGUGUGAAUCAAUUACUGGACUUGUAAUGACACAGCUCCCAAGAAUGUGUGCAAGUCAGCUUCAUAGAGAGAAAGAGCGACCAGAACAGGAAUGGUCCUCCCUCUCCCUCAACCCUGAAAACUGAAAGAAAGGAGAGCUGAUGUCACCCUUCUGAUGACCUUCUGAUUGACCCUGAGUUCUCAAGGAUGCCAUUCCAGAAAAGGAGGCCGACUUUCCCAGAAACAACUUCACGGGGCUCCAAACGAGGCUUGCUUUCUUUAGAAAAGAUUCCUCUAUGACUGGCUUGGCCUGCUAAGUCACUAUGAAUUAAAGUUUUGACAAUGGCCUGGGAUCCAAGGGAGGAGGAGGCCCACGGCCAGCAAGGUCUCAA